GAUGAACGCUGGCGGCGUGCCUAAUACAUGCAAGUCGAGCGAACGGACGAGAAGCUUGCUUCUCUGAUGUUAGCGGCGGACGGGUGAGUAACACGUGGAUAACCUACCUAUAAGACUGGGAUAACUUCGGGAGACCGGAGCUAAUACCGGAUGAUAUUUUGAACCGCAUGGUUCAAAAGUGAAAGACGGUCUUGCUGUCACUUAUAGAUGGAUCCGCGCUGCAUUAGCUAGUUGGUAAGGUAACGGCUUACCAAGGCAACGAUGCAUAGCCGACCUGAGAGGGUGAUCGGCCACACUGGAACUGAGACACGGUCCAGACUCCUACGGGAGGCAGCAGUAGGGAAUCGUCCGCAAUGGGCGAAAGCCUGACGGAGCAACGCCGCGUGAGUGAUGAAGGUCUUCGGAUCGUAAAACUCUGUUAUUAGGGAAGAACAUAUGUGUAAGUAACUGUGCACAUCUUGACGGUACCUAAUCAGAAAGCCACGGCUAACUACGUG
This 497-nucleotide ribosomal RNA is filed under the name uncultured bacterium. RNAcentral's name for it is "partial 16S ribosomal RNA". It matches the Rfam family "Bacterial small subunit ribosomal RNA", at positions 28 to 507 of the family's 1533-position model. The record is from RNAcentral.